Molecule: ribosomal RNA, 438 nt
Filed under: uncultured bacterium
Lineage: Bacteria
Description: partial 16S ribosomal RNA
Rfam family: Bacterial small subunit ribosomal RNA
Source: RNAcentral
CCUACGGGGCGCAGCAGUAGGGAAUAUUGCUCAAUGGGGGAAACCCUGAAGCAGCAACGCCGCGUGGAGGAUGACGGUUUUCGGAUUGUAAACUUCUUUUAAGAGGGAAGAGCAGAAGACGGUACCUCUUGAAUAAGCCACGGCUAACUACGUGCCAGCAGCCGCGGUAAUACGUAGGUGGCAAGCGUUGUCCGGAUUUACUGGGUGUAAAGGGCGUGUAGCCGGGCUGACAAGUCAGAUGUGAAAUCCCGUGGCUCAACCACGGAACUGCAUUUGAAACUGUCGGUCUUGAGUAUCGGAGAGGCAGGCGGAAUUCCUAGUGUAGCGGUGAAAUGCGUAGAUAAUAGGAGGAACACCAGUGGCGAAGGCGGCCUGCUGGACGACAACUGACGGUGAGGCGCGAAAGCGUGGGGAGCAAACAGGAUUAGAUACCCGAGU